Molecule: long non-coding RNA, 1437 nt
Organism: Pectinophora gossypiella (pink bollworm)
Lineage: Eukaryota; Metazoa; Arthropoda; Insecta; Lepidoptera; Gelechiidae
Exons: 2
Source: RefSeq, a predicted model, not a curated record
UUCAUUUGCGUCUGCCCGGAACUAAAUAGUUGGACUUUUACAAAAACCCCGACCUUAUUAGCAUCUAAUCUGAUAGUUUUGAACGCAUAAACAUGAAAUCCGCUUUGAACCAGUUCGUGAUUUAAGAAACAGUUUUAAUGAUUGUCGCCUUCUUGGAGAGGUGGAAGUUUCAAAUGGAAAUGGGCCGGACAUUUGGCUUUUUUCAUGACAUAUUGCAGAUUGCUAUGCCAGCUAUGCUACUGAUAUUCACCACUUGGCUGGGUAUACAUGGCUAGUGUACUCACAUGGCUAGUUGAGAGAAGGGUCGGUGCAUCAAAGCCGUCACAGGAUGGUGGCUGCAAGAAGGGAUUACCGGCUGAAGGAAGUCGUCGCUACUGAUGUUCCUUGAUGAUUACAGAGGGGGGUUGAAUAGUAACCGUACGACAUAUCAUACCCGUUUUACUUCUACUUUUUUGAACUUAGAAUCAAGAGCGGCCGUAAGUGUUUCUCUGAUUGCCAACUUGUGCUCUGCUGGGAGUUUGUGUAGCUAUGCUUCAUGUUGCCAUGUUGUUUAUUGCCAAACCAGAAAGCGGCCUCGACACGUGGCACUGGACCUUCCCACGUGCCAUACACGACUUGGUACGUCAUUGACAGCAGAUGCUUCGUUAUGGCCAUAUCCGUCUUAAUACGUAAUCAAAUGUGGUCCAAAGUUGGUUAAUCAUUAUUUAUGGCCCGCUUCAACGCUGGCUGAAAGUAUAUCUGCCAGAUAUUUAAAUUUGGGUAAACAGUGGGGGUAAAAAAGAACCCAUAGAAGCAAUUCAUCUAAAAAGCAAUAUUGCUAUUCGACAUUUGCGUAAAUGCGUAGUAAAUGCCAAGUAAUGUCAAAUAGCACUAUGGACACAAGAUACAGAAAUAACGACAACAGAUUCAGAAAGGUAUAACUUGCUUGAUGUAGCCGUUUAAACUCCCCAGAGAUAGAAUAAUUUGCAGGCACUCUACAUACGAAGUUUGGAUGACAUGAAGAACCGUGUGCUAGAGUGCUCUACAGCAGAGUCGCUGGUAGGUAUCCGGGUAUAAUUUGAACAAUUACCUUGAAUGUGAAGUUGGGUCUAAAUCUCAGUGCGGUAUUUGAGGGGGGGGGGGGAGAGGCAUCGCGUAACCAUGGCAGCCAGUAAAGCUACCUAAAUUUUUGUUUAACUUAUAGGCGUUACUACCUUCUUCUUUAAGAAGGGUAAAGGUAUAAUAAUAAGGUAAUAAAUGCUAAGGAGAGAGAGAGAGAGAGCUCGUCAAGUCAAAUAAUUCCAACGGAUUUACAUUUAAUUUACUCCAUUAGACAUUGUAUGGGACAUACCUAAUAGUCUACCAGUCACAUCUUUAGCGCGAGCAAGCCAACGCGUCUCAAUGUUUGGAUCUUGUAAUUUAAUUAAUAUCCUAAGUAAUACAGUUCAUUCAAUUAUU